This 460-nucleotide ribosomal RNA is filed under the name uncultured bacterium. Its description in RNAcentral is "partial 16S ribosomal RNA". It matches the Rfam family "Bacterial small subunit ribosomal RNA", at positions 338 to 795 of the family's 1533-position model. The record is from RNAcentral.
CCUACGGGUGGCAGCAGUGAGGAAUAUUGCUCAAUGGGCGCGAGCCUGAAGCAGCCAAGUAGCGUGAAGGAUGACUGCCCUACGGUUUGUAAACUUCUUUUAUAAAGGAGUAAAUUGAGGCACGUGUGCCUUUUUGUAUGUACUUUAUGAAUAAGGAUCGGCUAAACCCGUGCCAGCCGCCGCGCUAAUACGGUGGAUCCGAGCGUUAACUGGAUUUAUUGGGGUUAAAGGGAGCGUAGAUGGGUUGUUAAGUAAGUUGGGAAAGUUAGCGGCUCAACCGUAGAAUGGCACUUGAUACUGGCAGGCGUGAGUACAGUAGAGGUAGGCGGAAUUCGUGGUGUAGCGGUGAAAUGCUUAGAUAUCAGGAAGAACACCGAUUGCGAAGGCAGCUUACUAAACUGCGACUGACAUUGAGGCUCGAAAGUGUGGGGAGCAAACAGGAUUAGAUACCCUUGUAGUC